RNAcentral lists this ribosomal RNA (1095 nucleotides) under Bacillus altitudinis. RNAcentral's name for it is "bacterial SSU rRNA". It matches the Rfam family "Bacterial small subunit ribosomal RNA", at positions 36 to 1088 of the family's 1533-position model. Lineage: Bacteria; Bacillati; Bacillota; Bacilli; Caryophanales; Bacillaceae. The record is from RNAcentral.
CGGGGGGGGUGCCUAUACAUGCAAGUCGAGCGGACAGAAGGGAGCUUGCUCCCGGAUGUUAGCGGCGGACGGGUGAGUAACACGUGGGUAACCUGCCUGUAAGACUGGGAUAACUCCGGGAAACCGGAGCUAAUACCGGAUAGUUCCUUGAACCGCAUGGUUCAAGGAUGAAAGACGGUUUCGGCUGUCACUUACAGAUGGACCCGCGGCGCAUUAGCUAGUUGGUGAGGUAACGGCUCACCAAGGCGACGAUGCGUAGCCGACCUGAGAGGGUGAUCGGCCACACUGGGACUGAGACACGGCCCAGACUCCUACGGGAGGCAGCAGUAGGGAAUCUUCCGCAAUGGACGAAAGUCUGACGGAGCAACGCCGCGUGAGUGAUGAAGGUUUUCGGAUCGUAAAGCUCUGUUGUUAGGGAAGAACAAGUGCAAGAGUAACUGCUUGCACCAUGACGGUACCUAACCAGAAAGCCACGGCUAACUACGUGCCAGCAGCCGCGGUAAUACGUAGGUGGCAAGCGUUGUCCGGAAUUAUUGGGCGUAAAGGGCUCGCAGGCGGUUUCUUAAGUCUGAUGUGAAAGCCCCCGGCUCAACCGGGGAGGGUCAUUGGAAACUGGGAAACUUGAGUGCAGAAGAGGAGAGUGGAAUUCCACGUGUAGCGGUGAAAUGCGUAGAGAUGUGGAGGAACACCAGUGGCGAAGGCGACUCUCUGGUCUGUAACUGACGCUGAGGAGCGAAAGCGUGGGGAGCGAACAGGAUUAGAUACCCUGGUAGUCCACGCCGUAAACGAUGAGUGCUAAGUGUUAGGGGGUUUUCCGCCCUCUUAGUGCUGCAGCUAACGCAUUAAGCUACUCCGCCUGGGGGAGUACGGGUCGAACGACAGAAAUCUCAGAGGAAUAUGACGGGACGGCCCGCACAAGCGCUGUAGCAUGGUGGUUUUAUUUUCGGAGCAACGAUGGAGAAACUUAGCAUGUUCUGACAUUCUUCUGACUAUCAUAAUAGAUCAGGUCUUUUUCUAUACGGAGACAGGAAUGACAAGGUGUGUCAUGGCUUUGUCGUCAGCCUCGUGCCGAUGAUAAGGAUAGAUUUAAGUUAC